RNAcentral lists this ribosomal RNA (1444 nucleotides) under uncultured organism. RNAcentral describes it as "SSU rRNA". It matches the Rfam family "Bacterial small subunit ribosomal RNA". The record is from RNAcentral.
GGCUCAGGAUGAACGCUAGCUACAGGCUUAACACAUGCAAGUCGAGGGGCAUCAGGAAGAAAGCUUGCUUUCUUUGCUGGCGACCGGCGCACGGGUGAGUAACACGUAUCCAACCUGCCCUUUACUCGGGGAUAGCCUUUCGAAAGAAAGAUUAAUACCCGAUAGCAUAAUGAUUCCGCAUGGUUUCAUUAUUAAAGGAUUCCGGUAAAGGAUGGGGAUGCGUUCCAUUAGGUUGUUGGUGAGGUAACGGCCCACCAAGCCUUCGAUGGAUAGGGGUUCUGAGAGGAAGGUCCCCCACAUUGGAACUGAGACACGGUCCAAACUCCUACGGGAGGCAGCAGUGAGGAAUAUUGGUCAAUGGGCGCUAGCCUGAACCAGCCAAGUAGCGUGAAGGAUGAAGGCUCUAUGGGUCGUAAACUCCUUUUAUAUAAGAAUAAAGUGCAGUAUGUAUACUGUUUUGUAUGUAUUAUAUGAAUAAGGAUCGGCUAACUCCGUGCCAGCAGCCGCGGUAAUACGGAGGAUCCGAGCGUUAUCCGGAUUUAUUGGGUUUAAAGGGAGCGUAGGUGGAUUGUUAAGUCAGUUGUGAAAGUUUGCGGCUCAACCGUAAAAUUGCAGUUGAAACUGGCAGUCUUGAGUACAGUAGAGGUGGGCGGAAUUCGUGGUGUAGCGGUGAAAUGCUUAGAUAUCACGAAGAACUCCGAUUGCGAAGGCAGCUCACUAGACUGCAACUGACACUGAUGCUCGAAAGUGUGGGUAUCAAACAGGAUUAGAUACCCUGGUAGUCCACACAGUAAACGAUGAAUACUCGCUGUUUGCGAUAUACAGUAAGCGGCCAAGCGAAAGCAUUAAGUAUUCCACCUGGGGAGUACGCCGGCAACGGUGAAACUCAAAGGAAUUGACGGGGGCCCGCACAAGCGGAGGAACAUGUGGUUUAAUUCGAUGAUACGCGAGGAACCUUACCCGGGCUUAAAUUGCAGUGGAAUGAUGUGGAAACAUGUCAGUGAGCAAUCACCGCUGUGAAGGUGCUGCAUGGUUGUCGUCAGCUCGUGCCGUGAGGUGUCGGCUUAAGUGCCAUAACGAGCGCAACCCUUAUCUUUAGUUACUAACAGGUUAUGCUGAGGACUCUGGAGAGACUGCCGUCGUAAGAUGUGAGGAAGGUGGGGAUGACGUCAAAUCAGCACGGCCCUUACGUCCGGGGCUACACACGUGUUACAAUGGGGGGUACAGAAGGCAGCUACCUGGUGACAGGAUGCUAAUCCCAAAAGCCUCUCUCAGUUCGGAUCGAAGUCUGCAACCCGACUUCGUGAAGCUGGAUUCGCUAGUAAUCGCGCAUCAGCCACGGCGCGGUGAAUACGUUCCCGGGCCUUGUACACACCGCCCGUCAAGCCAUGGGAGCCGGGGGUACCUGAAGUACGUAACCGCAAGGAUCGUCCUAGGGUAAAAC